UAGUUUCAGUCACAUAGAGAUAUAGGUGUCGAUGUGGGAAAGCACUUUCAAAUACAUCUCUUUAAAUUAGUUGUCGUUAGUUAUGUAUUGUUUUAGUUUUAAGUUACCUUUUUAAUUUACUUUUGUAAAUUUCAGAAUAUUCUCCAAUGGCAUAAGAUUGUAAAUAAUUUAAAAAAGUAAGAGCAGAAUCCUCGUAAGGAUUCUACUUUAAUAAUAUAGAUUAGAUUUUCACCUGCACAACCGUGCGGAUAUAUAUUUUCACAUUUAUAUAUAUAGAUAUUUGUUUUACAUAAUUAUUAUAUAUUUUUAAUGUUACUCACAUAUUUAAAAGUUUAUAUAAUUAUACCAAAUAUAAUAAUUUUAUAGUUUUCAUGCUGUAAAUUUUUUUUUUUUUUUUACAGCAAAAAGAUUACAGACUCAUAUAGACUCUGUAAACCAAAGUGGUAACUCUGAAUCCAUGUGUACGACGAAAGACGGUUGUUGCCGAGCACUACGUGCCAAACUAUCCGCCCUUGUAUUCUCCGUCCUAGGUACAUGAACAAUAUCUG
Molecule: long non-coding RNA, 548 nt
Filed under: Brassica rapa (field mustard)
Lineage: Eukaryota; Viridiplantae; Streptophyta; Magnoliopsida; Brassicales; Brassicaceae
Description: long non-coding RNA (BRAP_LNC003785)
Source: RNAcentral